UACCUUUAAGUUAGGUAAUAAGUCAAUUUUCUUAAUAUUAAUACUUACAGUACAAAAUCUGUCCUACUAAACGCAUAUUUACUAUGUAGCGCGUUUAUAAGACUGAGACAGUAAAUACGGGUGAGACGUCCUCUUAAUACAUUAAUCAAAUGACAAAUCGAAAAUGGGGAAUUUCAUCUGGUUCCAUCUCAGUUACAAUUUAUUUUUGUACAUCGGAGUCUUAUUACUAUUUUCCAGGAUAAAUGUUAGAUAAAUUUGUUCUGCAAAUAUAUACUUACUUCAUUCAUGUGAGUAUCUAUAAUGUAUUGGAAUUUAUAUUUAUGGUUUUAACUCUAGUACUAAGAUUAUUUAUGGUUUGGAUUUAUACAUUUUUUUUAAAAAGCACCCGACAAACUGGUUAUUAUUAUUUAUAUUUAUUCUUUUUUAUCUAUGAAUAAUAAUGGUUCUAGGAUAAAAGUAAAAACUCGUGAAGUGUGAACAUUUCAUAAUAUACAUGGUGAUUCACUAAGCGUGCU
Molecule: non-coding RNA, 515 nt
Organism: Cinara cedri
Lineage: Eukaryota; Metazoa; Arthropoda; Insecta; Hemiptera; Aphididae
Source: the annotation of a GenBank genome assembly